Molecule: long non-coding RNA, 173 nt
Filed under: Ixodes scapularis (black-legged tick)
Lineage: Eukaryota; Metazoa; Arthropoda; Arachnida; Ixodida; Ixodidae
Description: uncharacterized LOC115309811
Source: RNAcentral
CCCGAGGCUCUGUCUGGCAAGACCAGAAGCUCUGCACCUAGCAGAUGCCGCCAUAGUCCCGAGGCACCGUCUGGCAAGGCUGCCCUCACGGCAAAACAGGUUUAAUUUUGGCAGACGCCUUUCGUCAAGCAUGGUACUUCGGGCAAAUCAACCCAUCUGAAGUGCGAUACAAA